UUCAAUGAGCUUUUAAGAAGCUGUGUAAUUAUACCUAUCCUGUUAAGUAAUGACUUUAGGUAGGCAAUUUAAUAGUACUAAUUAACUUGGGUACCUUUUGCAUCAGGGUUUAUCAAGAAAAUUGUGAAAAUUCACAUAUCCCGAAAAAUGGUUCGAGCUACUAAAUGCAAAAUAUUUAUCGUUGCAAAGCUAAAAAUAAGUGUUUGGUAGUUAUUAUAUGUUAUUCGUGGCAUUGGAUAUCUGGUUUGUCUUUAAAAAUAUUUAGUAUUGCUUUUUUAAAAAGUCACUUUUUUUGGGUUAAGCUAAAAAAAGAGAGCUAGACGUAUUACUAAUCUUUUUAUUUGAGUAGCCUUAAUAUUAGGCAUCCUGCUAGUUUGUGAUAAAUAAAAUAAAAAUUCUUCCGAGGAUAAUUUAAAUAUUUAUUGUCAUUUGGGUUAAAGAUAUAAAAACAAUUAGUUUUGUAAAAAUGAUAAAAUAAGUAGAGUUUUAUGUCUAUAAAGCAGUUAACUGUGUAAGGUAACUGUUAUAAAUAUUGUUUUUGGUUAAAAUUAAUUUUAAUGAACUCGGCAAAAAGUGUCCUCGACUGUUUAACAAAAACAUUUCCUUUUAAAAUUAAUUUAAGGUAGGCCCUGCCCGGUGCAUAUAGGGUGUAAACGGCGGUCUUAGCGUGAGGAUCUUAAGGUAGCACAACAAUUUGUCUUUUAAUUGAAGAAUGGUAUGAAAGGGUUAACGUGGGAUAAGCUGUGUCAAAAUAAUGUUAUCAAAAUUAAUUUUUGCGUGAAGAAGCGUGAAUUUCUUAGAGUGACGAUUAGACCCUAUGAAGUUUAACCUGAAGUUAUCCUAUGUGCCGGAAAGAUUGGAACAAGUUUUCUAAUAGAUUUCGGCAAACUASAAUGGUUUUGGUGGGGCCCCAGUCUUAGUAAGUGUAAGGCAUUGCACAGGUUUUGUGCUUUUGUAUUUUAAAGUGUUGUAAGUUUUUAAUAAUAACUUCUUACUUGAGUUAGCUAUAUUUUAUAAGUUUGAUAAACUACUCUAGGGAUAACAGCACAAUCCUCUUCGAUAGACGACAUUGAAAAGGGGGUUUGUGACCUCGAUGUUGGCUUUGGAUUACUUUAAGGCGUAGAAGCUUUAUAAGCGGGUCUGUUCGCCCUUUAAUUUCCAACAUGAGCUGAGUUCAGAACGGCGUGAGCUAGUUCAGUUUCUAUCUUCUAAUAAACCAUAGUGAAUUUUGUACGAAAGGACUUCUUCACUAAAGUGACUUUUUAAUCAAUAGAGUUUUGCACAGGUAUUGUUAUAAAGUGAUUUGCACUUUUUUGGAGAGCUCUCCACUGGGUAGUUUGGAACUAUUUAUUUUAGGUGUAGUAGUAGUUGUGGAUGUGGUUUUGGACUCUGAAGUUCAUACAAUUAUGAUCAUAAUUUUUCUAUAAACUUAUAUAUAUAUGUAUAUAUAAGAGUAGCUAUACGUGUAUUAUAUAUUUAUGAUAGUAACAUUUCUUAUCAUUUAAGGCCUGUUCUAACAGAAGGUUACAACUGCCUGUUAAGAUGAAGCUUAUUAGCCUGGCAAGCAACCGCUAUCAGAAAUUAUCUGUUUUAAUGUCAUUUUCAGGCUUAUGAAUCUGUUUUUAAACCUAACUUUUUAUUCUAGAAUUUUUUCUUUAGUUGUAUGUUUGAUGUUAGUUAGU
This 1682-nucleotide ribosomal RNA is filed under the name Arcuatula senhousia (Asian date mussel). Its description in RNAcentral is "large subunit ribosomal RNA". The stretch from base 774 to 1215 matches the Rfam family "Bacterial large subunit ribosomal RNA", at positions 2049 to 2651 of the family's 2925-position model. Lineage: Eukaryota; Metazoa; Mollusca; Bivalvia; Mytilida; Mytilidae. The record is from RNAcentral.